This 67-nucleotide transfer RNA is filed under the name Marmota monax (woodchuck). RNAcentral describes it as "tRNA.Ala". Lineage: Eukaryota; Metazoa; Chordata; Mammalia; Rodentia; Sciuridae. The record is from RNAcentral.
GGUCAUGGCUUAGGGGUAGAGCACCUGUCUAGCAUGUGUGAGGUACUGGGUUCAAUUCUCAGCACCA